Molecule: small RNA, 2097 nt
Filed under: Pan troglodytes (chimpanzee)
Lineage: Eukaryota; Metazoa; Chordata; Mammalia; Primates; Hominidae
Description: retained intron
Source: RNAcentral
AGGACCCAACCGCGGCGACCAGACGUGCACUCCUCCAGUAGCGGCUGCACGUCGUGCCAAUGGCCCGCUAUGAGGAGGUGAGCGUGUCCGGCUUCGAGGAGUUCCACCGGGCCGUGGAACAGCACAAUGGCAAGACCAUUUUCGCCUACUUUACGGGUUCUAAGGACGCCGGGGGGAAAAGCUGGUGCCCCGAUUGCGUGCAGGGUGAGGCCGGGAUUCGGGGGCUGCUGUCCAAUGGAAAUGGCAGGAAGGUCGAGCCUACGGCCAGAAGGGGGGCUUAGCGGAGGCAGAGUCUUGGUUCCAGACAUCCGCGGAGCAAUCUGAGCUGUCCCCAAGUCUCCUUCUAUUAAAUCCUACCUCGCCCUGCCAAGAGCGCUCUUUCUUUUACCAUCUUACCCGGAUGAUCUUGGAAUCUAGUUCCUUAAAACUUCUCACUCCCCCAGUACCAUUAGUGUCUUACAGGAUACGUGAGUUGGUCAGCAAAUACAUGUGCUUUCCAUUGUUAUGGGCGCGGUGGUGCAGGGGCAAAUCGGGACUGGGAUUUGGUCCUUACCCUUAACGUGGCUCUAAGACCAGAAGGGAACACCUGACUUCUGGUGACCUCUUCAGUUAGCUGCAGGUUAAAGUCUGAGUGCUUACCAAGACUGGGGGAAGGGGGAAAGAACACAGUUUAUACGUGCCUGAUUGUAGAGGUGACGUGCGAUUAUUUUAUCUCAACUUUUUUUUAAAGCUGAACCAGUCGUACGAGAGGGGCUGAAGCACAUUAGUGAAGGAUGUGUGUUCAUCUACUGCCAAGUAGGAGAAAAGCCUUAGUAAGUGGCAAUGUAUAAUCUACCUCGCAGACGUGCACAAAUUGCAUACUUAGGAGGGAAGGGCCUCAGGGACUUACCCAGUUUGUCUUACAAGGUAAUGUCUGACAAGUUAAACUAUUAGAAGCUAUUAAAUACAAAUUUAAAAUGCCCACCUGAAUUAAGUAAGGGUAAUUCAACGAAUUUGGUCUGGUGUAAGCCCAGAACUUAGCUGGCUUUACUUUUAUAUCUUAGUCACACUUUGAAACUUUGCACAGGGUAAUUAGUAGAUUAAGCCAUAGUCCGCAAGGUUUUUUAAGUGUUUGCAAGAACAGUGAUUACUAAAAAAUUAAAUGUAGGACUAUGUCAAAUAUUAAGCAAACUGUAAUAAACCAAGUAAAUUUUUUUCAUGAUCACUUUUUCUUUUGGAAUAGUUGGAAAGAUCCAAAUAAUGACUUCAGAAAAAACUUGAAAGUAACAGCAGUGCCUACACUACUUAAGUAUGGAACAGUAAGUAUCUUUAAAUAUGCUGGGCCUGUAAUCACUGUCAGAACUCUUUUAACUUGCUGUGGAUCCAGAUUUGAAAAGAUCUUGACAUUUCAUCUCAAUUCCAUUGUUGUUCAGAGUGCUGCUGUGAAAGUCCAUUCCUAUGGCCAAUCCCAAUAAACUGAUAAUGUAAAUAUCUAGCUAUUAGGUCUUUUUCAUGUUAAGUCACUCUUAAAAAACCAGAAAGUAGAUUGACUCAUAAUUCCUUAAAACAUUUACAUCAACAGUUGUUUUCUGUUUAAUUCAUAAUUCUGGUUAAAAAGUAAGGGCAUCUCUUCUAGUUCAGUCAUGCCCCUGGGAUCCUAAAUUAAAGAGUUGAGGGGAAGAAGAGGGCACUGGGCUUGCUGUCUCCUGUUUUAGUCUGUGGAGCUUCCUGGUAUUUGGGGUUUAAGUCUCUUGAGCCAAGUAUGUUAGUGAUUCAUCUUACAGCAAAUAUAUUGAUUCUUUCAUAAAACUUGUUAUAACUAGAUGAUAGUUUCUGAAUUGCGUAAUUUCUGUGUUCAAAGAUUAGUGUCAUUCGAGGCAGAACUCAUUCCACUCCUAAUAACGUUUUAUAGAAGCAGUGAAGAUUUGACUGUUCUUCUCUUACAGCCUCAAAAACUGGUAGAAUCUGAGUGUCUUCAGGCCAACCUGGUGGAAAUGUUGUUCUCUGAAGAUUAAGAUUUUAGGAUGGCAAUCAUGUCUUGAUGUCCUGAUUUGUUCUAGUAUCAAUAAACUGUAUACUUGCUUUGAAUUCAUGUUAGCAAUAAAUGAUGUUAAAAAA